This is a long non-coding RNA of Salvelinus fontinalis (brook trout), 1139 nucleotides long. RefSeq lists it as uncharacterized. The transcript is spliced from 3 exons. Lineage: Eukaryota; Metazoa; Chordata; Actinopteri; Salmoniformes; Salmonidae. The record is from RefSeq and is a predicted model, not a curated record.
GGCAGUAUUGAGUGAGCUUUGCAACUGAACUGUAUUUACAUCACACAUUUUCCAGUAUCUCUACUGGUAGAGAUGGAUGUUCUAAUACUUCACUUCUACUACUUGCAGGCUUCCUUUUUGUGCUUUUUAUUUCGAGAUUUGUUAAACGCAGUUUUGUCUCUCCCAGUUUUGAGAAACGUCUGUGCGAGCUGUACGACAAUAUGAGAACCUUUACAACCCUUCGAUGCUGUUGUAUUCGGACAAGCAAGCAAACUGCUGGAGGGAGAUAUCACAACAUUUGAACACCGGUACUGAUAUCAAAGAAACAUUGAGAAAGAUUUGGGACCAGUAUGUACAAUCUGAAAGGGGUGAAGAAGAUGAUGUGUCCCACCGAUUGUCAGACAACUGGAAUGGCUUUGUGUUAUUGUGAGACCCUGUCAGAUACGGCUGUCAAUGUCGUUCUCCUCAGACGAGGAGGAGCAUGUCAAUGUCGUUCUCCUCAGACGAGGAGGAGCAUGGAUCGGACCAAGAUGCGGAUUGGUGUUGGAGAGGGGUGAUGAUUUGGAUAGUCCAGAGACGGAGCUGAGCCCUGAGGGCCCAUCUACAGGUGAUUCAUUGCCCCUUGAUUCAUCAUCUCCCCAACGCCCUGGCCCUUCUCACCAACACCCAACCCACCGUCCAGACGCACCCUUGCUCUCUGCCCUGCAACUCAACUCCAUCAACCUCCAACCAAUCUCCCGAGCCAGAUCCAAUGGCCGGAAGAGGAAGACAGCUGCGGAUCCUUUGGACACUGACAUUAUGCAGCGGGUGGAUGACUUAAAAGAAACGGCAGCAUGAGUUACAGAAACAGCAGCAGUGUCCAGCAAAGGCCGUCUACGACGUAAUGGUAACAUGGAUGGUGCUUAUUCCUGCUGAUCAACUGUUUGUCUCACCCCAAAACUGUAAUUGUGUGCUUUCUUUUCAAAUUCAUACAUUAGGCAGGUGAGUAAUUUACUGGGGGGGGGGGGGGGUUGCAUGUUUUUAUACUUACUGUAUUUCCUCAUUCACAUGUUACUGGUGUUUACUCAGUUAUUUCUCUUAUUUCCCCUUUCAUCACACUUUCACCUAUGUUUUACAUUGCACUAUUUUCUUCUUAUAAUAGUAAAUAAAUAUAUGAAAAG